This 1247-nucleotide long non-coding RNA is filed under the name Ananas comosus (pineapple). Its description in RNAcentral is "long non-coding RNA (ACOM_LNC031223)". Lineage: Eukaryota; Viridiplantae; Streptophyta; Magnoliopsida; Poales; Bromeliaceae. The record is from RNAcentral.
GGGCAAUGACAGUUAGCUACGGUGUAAGAAUGCCGACGAGCGGUCUUAUUUUAUUGAUUGACGACGACCCGGCGUAGUAGAGGUUAAUGACGGCAUGUGUAGCCCGGUGUGCAUAGAAAGCUCGAUGUAUAAAGUGCCUUAACUAGGAGAGAGAGAAAGAGAAAAUAAAAGUAAGAGAAUCUAAACCCACCUUUCUAUUUGGCUCUUUUUUUUAUUCAAGUUUUCUUUUCUCUCUUUUUUUUUGUGAGUAGAAUCUCCCUCCAUAUUUUUUUGUUCACUUCUCUUUAUAUAGAUAGAGGGUGGUAAAGGUUUAUGGUGAAGAGAAGAGUAAAUAGUGGAGAAGUGGAGGGAAUGACGGAGAAGUGGAAGGAGUGAUGGAGAAGUGGAGGGAAUAGAGGAAAAGUGGAGGGAAUAGUGGAGAAAGUGGAGGGAGUGAUGGAGAAGUGGAGGGAAUAGAGGGAAGUGGAGAGGGUGAUGGAGAAGUGGAGGGAAUGGAAGAAAAGUGGAGGGCAUGGUGGAGAAGUGGAGGGAAUGGAGGGAAAGUGGAGGAAAUGGUGAAGAAAGUGGAUGGAGUGAUGGAGAAGUGGAGUAAAUAAUGGAGAAAGUGGAGGGAGUGAUGGAGAAGUGAACUUUUAUUUUUAUUUUUAUUUUUAUUUUUAUUUUUCUAACAUUUGGAUUUUAAGCUGAUCCAAAUAUAAAAAAAAGGACUUAUAGUUUGUGAAUUUAAUUAUUAGAUUAAGAUUCUAAUUUUUUUUUUCAAAUUUCACCCAGUAAUAGAGUUAACAAUCUAACUUAUUGUUCGCGAGCCAGCUAAUGUUCAGCUCGUUAAUAAACAAACCAAGUGCAAGCUAGAUUUUUGAACUUGGUAUUUUAACAAAUUCGAUUCAUUUAAUAAACCAACGAACACGAACUAGUCCCAGCUCACUGGUGUUCAGGUUGUUUACAACCCUAGUCCUAAACAUACAGCGAUAUUGCUCAACGCAUCAAAAUUUUGCAUACGGAACUGUAGAGAAUUCAAACCCAUAGCUGAUAGUUUCGUGGAAAGGGGGUGGUCUCAAACAUUUUGUUUAUAUUUUCCACCGGUCUUUGCGAGAUAAGGAGGAAAUCUAUUAUGUAGUAGUCACACCAUAUUAUCUAUAAUCAGUUAAUUCUAUCUUUUUUUAAAAAAAAUAAAAAUAUAAUAAAAAUAUUGUUUAAAAAAUUAUAAUAAAAUAGAUAAAUUUUAAAUAUAAUAUGAUUGAUUGAAA